GACGAACGCUGGCGGCGUGCUUAACACAUGCAAGUCGAACGGAAAGGCCCUGCUUUUGUGGGGUGCUCGAGUGGCGAACGGGUGAGUAACACGUGAGUAACCUGCCCUUGACUUUGGGAUAACUUCAGGAAACUGGGGCUAAUACCGGAUAGGAGCUCCUGCUGCAUGGUGGGGGUUGGAAAGUUUCGGCGGUUGGGGAUGGACUCGCGGCUUAUCAGCUUGUUGGUGGGGUAGUGGCUUACCAAGGCUUUGACGGGUAGCCGGCCUGAGAGGGUGACCGGGCACAAUGGGAAUGGGAUACGGCCCAGACUCCUAAGGGGGGCAGGAGGGGGGAAUAAUGGAAAAUGGGCGGAAGCCUGAUGCAGCAACGCCGCGUGCGGGAUGACGGCCUUCGGGUUGUAAACCGCUUUCGCCUGUGACGAAGCGUGAGUGACGGUAAUGGGUAAAGAAGCACCGGCUAACUACGUG
Molecule: ribosomal RNA, 468 nt
Filed under: uncultured bacterium
Lineage: Bacteria
Description: partial 16S ribosomal RNA
Rfam family: Bacterial small subunit ribosomal RNA
Source: RNAcentral